AUAUAUAUAUAACAUUACUUAACAUCAUAUAAUGCAAACAAUAGUUGAAUCCUCUAGACCCCUAUUUUCGGUUAAGAUGAAAUAUCCUAACUAUCACAUAAGACUCAAUUCAAACAGACGGAUCAUGAUUCGAAACUAAAAUAACAUAAGAAGAAUUCUACACUAGUAUGAGAUUUACAGAAUAGACCCUCACCUUUGCCACGGGUUCUGAAGAAACCUGAGAAAACACCAAAUGACCUUGACGGCUCUAAAACAUCAACUCUGAACUCUCU
Molecule: long non-coding RNA, 272 nt
Filed under: Brassica napus (rape)
Lineage: Eukaryota; Viridiplantae; Streptophyta; Magnoliopsida; Brassicales; Brassicaceae
Description: long non-coding RNA (BNAP_LNC012104)
Source: RNAcentral